RNAcentral lists this ribosomal RNA (446 nucleotides) under uncultured bacterium. RNAcentral describes it as "bacterial SSU rRNA". It matches the Rfam family "Bacterial small subunit ribosomal RNA", at positions 330 to 792 of the family's 1533-position model. The record is from RNAcentral.
CCCAGACUCCUACGGGAGGCAGCAGUGGGGGAUAUUGCACAAUGGGGGGAACCCUGAUGCAGCGACGCCGCGUGGGUGAAGGAGCGUUUCGGCGCGUAAAGCCCUAUCGGCAGGGAAGAAGGAGGACGGUACCUGACUAAGAAGCCCCGGCUAACUACGUGCCAGCAGCCGCGGUAAUACGUAGGGGGCAAGCGUUAUCCGGAUUUACUGGGUGUAAAGGGGGCGCAGACGGCAGCGCAAGCCAGGAGUGAAAGCCCGGGGCUCAACCCCGGGACUGCUCUUGGAACUGCGCGGCUGGAGUGCAGGAGGGGCAGGCGGAAUUCCUGGUGUAGCGGUGAAAUGCGUAGAUAUACGGAGGAACACCAGUGGCGAAGGCGGCCUGCUGGACAUUAACUGACGCUGAGGCGCGAAAGCGUGGGGAGCAAACAGGAUUAGAUACCCCGGUA